Molecule: ribosomal RNA, 253 nt
Filed under: uncultured bacterium
Lineage: Bacteria
Description: partial 16S ribosomal RNA
Rfam family: Bacterial small subunit ribosomal RNA
Source: RNAcentral
UACGGGGGGGGCAAGCGUUGUUCGGAAUUACUGGGCGUAAAGGGCGCGUAGGCGGCCUGCUAAGUCGGACGUGAAAUCCCCCGGCUCAACCGGGGAACUGCGUCCGAUACUGGUGGGCUCGAAUCCGGGAGAGGGAUGUGGAAUUCCAGGUGUAGCGGUGAAAUGCGUAGAUAUCUGGAGGAACACCGGUGGCGAAGGCGGCAUCCUGGACCGGUAUUGACGCUGAGGCGCGAAAGCUAGGGGAGCAAACGGG